RNAcentral lists this non-coding RNA (21 nucleotides) under Rattus norvegicus (Norway rat). The record is from RNAcentral. Lineage: Eukaryota; Metazoa; Chordata; Mammalia; Rodentia; Muridae.
ACUGUGAGAUACUCUGUGGAU